ACUACACUGAUGAGUCCCAUAAGACGAAACGGUACCGUCUGUAGU
This 45-nucleotide non-coding RNA is filed under the name Paramuricea clavata. Lineage: Eukaryota; Metazoa; Cnidaria; Anthozoa; Malacalcyonacea; Plexauridae. The record is from RNAcentral.